This 159-nucleotide microRNA precursor is filed under the name Populus trichocarpa (black cottonwood). Its description in RNAcentral is "MIR2912 microRNA precursor family". It matches the Rfam family "MIR2912 microRNA precursor family". The record is from Rfam by way of RNAcentral. Lineage: Eukaryota; Viridiplantae; Streptophyta; Magnoliopsida; Malpighiales; Salicaceae.
UCUAGAACUCGAGAUAUAGUCUAAACACUGAACAGUGUCUGGGCUGCAGGACAGAUUCUGACUUCUCCGUUGUUGCUAAGAUUUGGACUUCCAAAUAGCAGAAUUGAGUCUUGGACUCCUCAUGAAUGUUUUAGGCCUAUGUAUGUUUAGCCAUAUAAA